RNAcentral lists this ribosomal RNA (1986 nucleotides) under Triticum aestivum (bread wheat). Its description in RNAcentral is "partial small subunit ribosomal RNA". The record is from RNAcentral. Lineage: Eukaryota; Viridiplantae; Streptophyta; Magnoliopsida; Poales; Poaceae.
AUGCAUCCGUUUCGUGUCCCGGUGGCCGCUGCCGUGCUCUGCGCAGCCACAGUGCUGCUAAGUGCCGUCCUCACUACCCACGCCCGAAACACCACCUCCUGCGAGCCGGCGACGUGCGGGGGGCUGCGCAUCGAGUACCCGUUCUGGCUCGGCGGCACGCACCCGCCGGAGUGCGGCUACCGGGCCUUCCAGGUCAGGUGCGACGUCAACGGCACGGCCUCCCUCAACGACAACAUACGGACGUACAAGAUCCUCGACAAUCUCCUACCAGGAUAGCUCGUUCCGGGUCACCAACGUCGAGCUCUCAGACAGCACGUGCGACUUCAAGCUCCAAGUCAACGUCUCCUCCGACCUCGGCCUCGCGCCCUUCAGCAUCAGCGCCGCCAACCGGGAGCUCUUCUUCCUCUACGACUGCCGCGACCUGCAGCCGGCGCAGCAGCCACCUACGUGGGCGCCCUUGAACUGCGACAGCAACUCGUUCGCGUGGCUUGCCGGGGGUUACAAGCCCGACGACAAAUGGCCGCCGGUGCCGGGAAACUGCUCGGUGUUGAUGGUGCCGGUGCUGGGGUACCCGGGGGCGACCGGGGCGAACUACCACAGGCUGAUGGAGGGCGGGUUUCGUCUCGAGUACACGACCGGCGAGUGCACAGCGUGCAGGGACACCGGUGGGCUUUGCCGGAUCAACCCCACCUACGACAUCUUCGAUUGCCAAUGUCCCAGCGGAUUGUCUGACGGCCCCUUAAUCUGCGGUGAUCAAUUCAUCACCCCUGCAGAAAAAGGUAGCAAGGGGACUAGUAAGAUGAGUAUGCUAAUAGCUAUGACAUCAGCAGCUGGAGUCUUGCUCUUUACAUGUAUUUAUGUCCUGUUAUGGCAUAGAAAGGGGAAAAGACUAUGGUUUCUCCUUUGCAAGAAGACUAGCAGCAACACUGAAAAGAAUUACGAGGCCAUGAUAGUAUCAUAUGGAUCCCUAGCUCCAAAAAGAUACAUGUAUUCGGAGGUAAUGAAGAUAACAUCUUCUCGCAACAAUCAGCUUGGGAAAGGUGGUUAUGGUGAGGUUUCCAAAGGAAGGCUACACGAUGAUCGUCUGGUUGCUGUGAAAUUCUUGCAUGACUGCAAAGGAAAUGGGGACGAGUUUGUGAAUCAGGUUAUGAGCAUUGGGAGGACCUCUCAUGUUAAUAUUGUUAGCUUAUUUGGAUUUUGUCUGGAGGGAUCAAAACGAGCUCUUAUAUAUGAGUACAUGCCCAACGGUUCCUUGGAUAAGUUCAUUUACUCAGAGAACCCCAAAGAAUUUUAGGAUGGGAGAGGCUCUAUGCGAUAGCAGUGGGGAUUGCUCGUGGCCUCGAGUACUUGCAUCAUGGCUGUAAUAUACGCAUCGUCCAUUUUGACAUUAAGCCCCAAAAUAUCCUUCUAGACAAGGAUUUUAACCCAAAGAUUGCUGAUUUUGGUCUAGCUAAAUUGUGUCAUACAAAGGAAAGCAAGCUUUCAAUGACUGGAGCUAGAGGAACAAUUGGGUUCAUCGCUCCAGAAGUUCACUCUCGAAGCUUUGGAGUGGUCUCAGAAAAGUCAGAUGUUUAUAGUUACGGAAUGAUGCUGCUGGAGAUGGUUGGAGGCAGGAGAAAUGUAAAAUCAAUUGAUGCAAAAUCCAGCGAAAAGUAUUUUCCAGACUGGAUUUACGACCACUUUGCGCAAGAUGAUGGAUUACAAGCAUGUGAAGUCACAUCAGAAAUUGAGAAAAUUGCAAGAAAGAUGACCUUAAUUGGCUUGUGGUGCGUACAAAUAUUGCCUGCAUAUCGCCCUACCAUAACCAAAGUUCUAGAAAUGUUCGACAGAAGCUCAGAUGACAUGGACAUGCCACCAAAGCAAAACUUCUCAGGAUUGCUUGAAAGUUCAGCUCACAAUAUGGAUGUACAAAGUUCAAGUUCUAACAAAUCUGAGGAGAUCAGCCUUGUGAAUUCAAAAAUCCUACAAAAAUCGCCAGCUCUUUGA